Long non-coding RNA from Homo sapiens (human), 2052 nucleotides. The record is from Ensembl. NCBI's taxonomy places the organism in Eukaryota, Metazoa, Chordata, Mammalia, Primates, Hominidae.
AGAUUGGGGGCGGGGAGAGGAGGCCCGGGUCCGAGGAUGGAAGCGAUCCCCGCCGGGAGGGAGAACAAAGCGGUGGCCCUCUCUCUCCCCCGACGCACGGGUUUUGGCUCCAACUCAGGCAGACUCAGCUUUAAAACCAGACUCCACCACCUACCACCUGAUUUUGACCACUCCACGUUUUGCAAAGAUCGGUUUUGCCUCAGAGUCAACAAACUCUUCAGAUUGGUUCCGGUGUGUCCUAUGUUUACAAGUCAGUGGAAAUUAAGCACAACACAUAUAAAUUGAAAAGUCAAAUAAGGAAAUGAAUUACCUCCCUUGACGGCUCUAAUUUUACUUUGACGAUGUUGUUGGGGUGAAGGUAGGAAGUGAUUUUCUCACUAAGAAGAGGGUCCUGGCCCAUAUUUUUACUUCAGCUGCUCAAAUGACAAGUUUAAAUAAGGAAAAAGAUUCCAAAAAAGGAAUUCAGGAACAUUUCCUGUGGGACCAGGCUGUGCUGCCAUUGAUCACAACUGGCUUUCUGGAGAAUUCUGCUGUGCUUCUGUGAUCUCGUUGUGGGCCUCAUGCUGGAAGCUCUGCUACUCUCCCAGUGGGGACUCCGCUUCUCAUUUCCUGGGCCUUCUGUUCAUGAUUUAUGGAUGAGACAGAGGAUGAUGUUGGCUCCAUCUGGAAAGUGGGUCAGCCAGUCUUUGAGGAGACACCUUGGAGGCCUAGGAAUAGUGCUGUGGAUACAGAUGACAUAAGUUUAGAGACAGAUAGGAGAGUGAAGAAAGGACUUGACCCUCAGAAAGUGAAAUUCAACUUCAGCCUGAAGUGGAACACUGCUCAAGAUAAAGGCUCUGCAAAAUGUACUGUAAAUGAUUCACAACCGUUAAUGCAAAGAUCCAGGUGAAGAAAUAUCCUGAAGAAAAACCCGUCCUGAUCUCAAAUGCUACCCCCAGAGGCCUGCCAGAGCACAGAACUUUCCACAGGCAAAUUGCUGGACCACUGGCUAAGGACAGUAAGAAGGGCUGGCCAUGUUAUUCAGGAGGCAAAGUGUGUUGGCACCUAUGGAGACGUUUGUACCAUUGGCUUAUCAGAUGUGUCAGCCCAGUGACUUGCAAAGGGUGAGGGGUGGUCAUGUAGCCCAUGAGACUCAUUCAUUUGGGGUCAAGACCACAGAAGAAAUGGUAAUUGAUAAUGAUUUAUUUCCUUCCUUUCCCUUCCCUUUCUGUUCCUUUCUUUCAUUUCUUUAAUUGACCUCAGGACCUCUGAUUAACCAUAAUCCUUGGUUCCAUACACUUUCAUCAUUGGUCCAUUUAUGAUCUCAUUUAUUUAAUUAUUUUAAUUAGACAACCAUGAGUCCACCACCUAGUACAAAAACUAGGACAUCGACAAUAUUUUACAUCUAACUCUAUAGUCCUUCCCUUUCUCAUCCUCAUACCUCACUCCACCCAAGGAGCUCAGCCACCUCCCGGAAUCCUGUAUUCACAAUUUCCUUGCUUUUGUUUUUAAAAGUGUGAGUAUCCCACAGUUUAUGUAACUGUUCUCCUGUUGAUGAGCCCUUAUGUUGUUUUUAGGUUUUUCAUAUUUAAAUAGUGAUGUAGCAAUAUUAUUGUACAUAUCACAGGGUAUACCUGUGUGAGAGUUUCUUUUGCGUAUAUAUCGAGAUGGAAAUUGCUCAUAGAGUAGGUGAAUACUUGACAUCACAAGAUAAUGCAAAUUAUCUUCCAAAACAUACUAAUUUUACAUUUCUACCAGCAGAGUACAAUUUGUAGAUCCACAUCCCCUCCAUUUUUCUCCAUGUCCAAUGCCAGUAACUUGGCAUUAUUGGACUUUUAAAUUUUUGUCAGGCAUGUCAGUUUCACUUGUAUCUCACUGUGUUUUGAUUUGCAUUUCCACACUUAGUAAUAUGGUUGAACAUCCCUUUCAUGUUUACUGGUCACAUAUGUUUCUUUUGUUUUGAAAUUUCUGUUCAUGUCUUCUGGUCAUUUUUCAAUUGGGAUAAAAGUACUUUUAUGCUGAUAUGCAGGAACAGUGAUUUUUCUAAAUAAUAAAAAUCUUUCAAAAUUUAAA